RNAcentral lists this microRNA (23 nucleotides) under Meleagrid alphaherpesvirus 1 (Turkey herpesvirus). RNAcentral's name for it is "hvt-miR-H15-3p". Its record names the gene hvt-miR-H15-3p. The record is from miRBase by way of RNAcentral. Lineage: Duplodnaviria; Heunggongvirae; Peploviricota; Herviviricetes; Herpesvirales; Orthoherpesviridae.
CAAAGAUACGCAUGGGCUGAGGG